This 804-nucleotide ribosomal RNA is filed under the name Xiphinema italiae. Its description in RNAcentral is "eukaryotic LSU rRNA". It matches the Rfam family "Eukaryotic large subunit ribosomal RNA", at positions 346 to 918 of the family's 3401-position model. Lineage: Eukaryota; Metazoa; Nematoda; Enoplea; Dorylaimida; Longidoridae. The record is from RNAcentral.
AAGUACCCGUGAGGGAAAGUUGAAAAGAACUUUGAAGAGAGAGUUCAAAAGGGCGUGAAACCGCUUAGAAUAAAACGGACGGAGCCGUCUGCAGCCCGUCGGAAUCAGUCGGAUCGACGCGUGAAAGCGAGUACGACAUUGAAAAACGGAACGAAAGUCCGGUCGUCUCGUAGUAAAAAAAGUAGCGCUCGUUCGAUGCAUUUCCGAAGGGUAAGCACCGCGACCGAUGUCGAAGGCUAGCGAAGCCGUUGGAUUGAGGUCGAGUUCGUUUACGCGAGUCUCGUAACCCGUCCUUCGGUACGAAUAGAAUUCGUUAGACCCUAGCAUCGAGAAUAAAAACGAACGAACGUCGGUGAACUAUACACGCUCACCCGUUACGAUGGACGUGCGGCCGUUCGAUCGUCGCCUGCCCGCAGGUUACGGUUUGAAUCCGGUUCGUAUCCGAAGUCGUCGGUGACGUUUCGGCGUUCGGGAGUCCGCGGUGUCCGAGUCGGUCACCCGUCCGACCCGUCUUGAAACACGGACCAAGGAGUCUAACGUAAGCGCGAGCUAAUGGGCGGAAAACCCAUAAGCGAAAUAAAAGUAAAGGUCGUUUCGGACGGCCGAGGUACGAUCCCGAAGAACGAAAGUAUCUACGGGCGCAGUACCGUCCCGUCCCGACCGCUUGUCGGUAGGGCGGAGAUAGAGUGCAUACGUUGGGACCCGAAAGAUGGUGAACUAUGCCUGAGCAGAGCGAAGCCAGAGGAAACUCUGGUGGAGGUUCGUAGCGGUUCUGACGUGCAAAUCGAUCGUCAGACUUGGUAU